This 397-nucleotide ribosomal RNA is filed under the name uncultured bacterium. RNAcentral describes it as "partial 16S ribosomal RNA". It matches the Rfam family "Bacterial small subunit ribosomal RNA", at positions 523 to 918 of the family's 1533-position model. The record is from RNAcentral.
CUACGUAGGGGGCGAGCGUUGUCCGGAAUGAUUGGGCGUAAAGGGCGCGUAGGCGGCCCGGUAAGUCUGGAGUGAAAGUCCUGUUUUUAAGAUGGGAAUUGCUUUGGAUACUGUCGGGCUUGAGUGCAGGUGAGGUAAGUGGAAUUCCCAGUGUAGCGGUGAAAUGCGUAGAGAUUGGGAGGAACACCAGUGGCGAAGGCGACUUACUGGACUGUAACUGACGCUGAGGCGCGAAAGUGUGGGGAGCAAACAGGAUUAGAUACCCUGGUAGUCCACACUGUAAACGAUGAAUGCUAGGUGUAGGGGGUAUCGACCCCUUCUGUGCCGCAGUCAACACAAUAAGCAUUCCGCCUGGGGAGUACGGCCGCAAGGUUGAAACUCAAAUGAAUUGACGGGG